GGGGGCUAUACCUUGUGAAAAUAAUGUAUUUAAAUGGUAUAGCCGGUCGGCUAUACUACGUUUAAAAAAAAUAUUAAUAAUGUUUUACACGUGGCGCAAGAGGGUUCUCUUUUCCAGAAAAAAAAAAAAAAGAAAGUAGUACGGCCGAACGGCUAUACUCCGUGUUUUGAAAUUUUUUAAAAAUAGACCUCUGUUGACACGUG
This 203-nucleotide long non-coding RNA is filed under the name Prunus persica (peach). RNAcentral's name for it is "long non-coding RNA (PPER_LNC005775)". The record is from RNAcentral. Lineage: Eukaryota; Viridiplantae; Streptophyta; Magnoliopsida; Rosales; Rosaceae.